CAAAGACCUCAACAGAUUAAGUCCUGGCUUGGUGAUCUGACGCAAUUAAAGGGUUAUUCUAGAAGAUAAAAUGAGCCAGUAGUGUGUGUAAUGCAGGUCCAACUCAGCACCAGCACAGAGACUUUUCUUUCCCUUCUAUCCCAGCACUCUGGUCAUCAAGACCCAACACCAUCUGUGUGUGGAAUGAGGGGUACAAGCGUCAAGUCAUUGAAAAGGAUUCGCAUCCACACAAGAGUUUGGAUGAAGCUUAGCAAAGCCUCAGAGAUGUGCCAGCUUUCUUCCAAUGGGCAAUCCAGAAGCCCUGUGCAGGCAGCUGUGGAUGGAAGGAAUAUUCCCCGGGUGCUGAGCCAACAGCUAACAUGUCUCCUACUCCAGACUGACCUGUGGCGCCACCUCGUAGUGUGACAGUGAGAGGAAAUAAAAGAUCAGCAUUUUUAAGAUUUCAUCUAGAAAAAGAUGUACACUUUUGUCCCUUCAGUUUCUCCCUCUCCCCCACUUUAUCAAUGGCCUUCUUUCAUUACUGGCCCAGUUUCCAGGUUCCCUGAGGCAGAAUCGGGUAAAUGGAUAAGACAAAAACAAGAUCAGAAAGGUGAAAGGCAGUCGGGAGGCGCCCUGAGGACUAGGGCCACCGAGGCUGAGACUUGGAGAAGAGAGCUGAUCAGAAAGUGAAGAGGAGCCAUCAAGAAAGGGAGAAGCUCUGGAUCGCCUGGUGAGGAACCGAGUCCCUCAAAGACGUUUCUACAGGUUGUAAACUGAAUCACAAAGUAAAAUCAUGGGAUCACUGGAAGAUAAAAGUUCUUUCAAAAAUGCAAUUAAAGAUGUGAAUGGCUCUUUGAUUGCUUUUGG
RNAcentral lists this long non-coding RNA (846 nucleotides) under Homo sapiens (human). RNAcentral describes it as "HSALNT0045718". Lineage: Eukaryota; Metazoa; Chordata; Mammalia; Primates; Hominidae. The record is from RNAcentral.